GACGAACGCNGGCGGCGUGCUUAACACNUGCAAGUCGAACGAAGAGCGAUGGAAGCUUGCUUCUAUCAAUCUUAGUGGCGAACGGGUGAGUAACGCGUAAUCAACCUGCCCUUCAGAGGGGGACAACAGUUGGAAACGACUGCUAAUACCGCAUACGAUCUAAUCUCGGCAUCGAGGAUAGAUGAAAGGUGGCCUCUACAUGUAAGCUAUCACUGAAGGAGGGGAUUGCGUCUGAUUAGCUAGUUGGAGGGGUAACGGCCCACCAAGGCGAUGAUCAGUAGCCGGUCUGAGAGGAUGAACGGCCACAUUGGGACUGAGACACGGCCCAGACUCCUACGGGAGGCAGCAGUGGGGAAUCUUCCGCAAUGGACGAAAGUCUGACGGAGCAACGCCGCGUGAGUGAUGACGGCCUUCGGGUUGUAAAGCUCUGUUAAUCGGGACGAAAGGCCUUCUUGCGAAUAGUNAGAAGGAUGACG
This 476-nucleotide ribosomal RNA is filed under the name uncultured bacterium. RNAcentral's name for it is "bacterial SSU rRNA". It matches the Rfam family "Bacterial small subunit ribosomal RNA", at positions 28 to 474 of the family's 1533-position model. The record is from RNAcentral.